AAUAUUUAGAUUGCAAACAUGAAACAAAUAGACGACAAUUCGUAUAUUCAGUCACGAUCUCAUUUCCAACGAAAAUGGCUGAACUCGAACCACUAAAGGCAGAAGUCCCCGACAAAAAAACACUCAAAGAAAAAUACCUUUACAUUAAAGAAAACGCAACGGUCGAACCAGUUUUAGCUUUCUACGUGAUACCUAGUGUUCUGACUAAAUUAGCUAGCCAAAAUCUUAGUCUUGAUAAAGCUUGUCGAGUCAACAAGAACUACGGAGAGGAAAUCUGUGAUGCUCUUCUAAAUAGAGAGGGAACAAAGUACUUAAAAGAAGAAUUAGACAUCCAAGAACUGAUAGCUGGUAUAGAAACAUGGAAAAAUGUAUUAUUAACAGCGAUGCCAAGUUUCUUAAUACUUUUUCUCGGAGCGUGGAGUGACAGAACGGGAAAGAGAAAAAUGUGUAUUCUCUUACCAAUAAUAGGAGAGCUUCUCGCAUGUAUCAGCAAUUUGGUCAACACGUAUUUCUUUUAUGAGCUUCCGGUAGAAGUCAUGGCGUUUUUUGAAGCUUUCUUACCGGCUGUUACUGGUGGGUGGGUUGCUACUUAUAUGGGAGUGUUCAGCUAUAUCAGUGAUGCGUCCAGUGAGGAAACUAGAACAUUUAGAGUGGGCAUCGCCAACCUCUGUCUGACGGCUGGUUCUCCCAUUGGAUCAGUAUUAAGUGGUAUUAUUUUGAAGCACGCUGGCUACUACGGAGUGUUUUCUUUGAGCUGCUUGUUAUAUUUUAUUAGUAUUAUUUAUGGUUUCGUGAACAUAAAAGAUAAAGUACAAAGUUUGCCGGAGAAAAAUGAAAAGGAAGAAGCUAAGAGCCCGUGCGGCUUUCUUAAGUCGUUCUUCGACAUAAAGCACGUCAAGGACACUUUAAACGUCGCAUUCAAGAAAGGACCUAAUCACCGCAGGACAAAGUCUAUUUUGAUACUGGCUAUGAUCGCUUUCAUUUAUGGAUCUUCGACUGGUGAAAAUACAGUGAAAUAUCUUUUCUGUCGCUACAGAUUUAAUUGGGAUGCUCUGAACUACAGUUUCUACAACACGUUUUACAUCUGCAUACACUUAUUGGGUGCAUUCAUUUCAAUAAGUCUGUUUAGCCGCAGAUUGCAAUGGAAUGACUCCGUUUUAGGACUGAUUUCGAACUGUAGUAAAAUAAUUGGAAGCCUUGCUACUGGAUUCGCUAGAAACACCCAAGAAAUGUAUAUAGCUGUCGCAAUAGAAACUUUCAAUGCAACUUCUUUCACAGCCAUGAGAUCUAUUUCCUCCAAACUAGUCUCAAGUGAUGAACUGGGAAAAAUGAUUUCAGUUUUUAAUCUUAUAGAAGUCUUGACGUCCAUGACGUUUAGUCCGCUUUAUUCUUGGAUCUAUAUGUUCACCGUUAAAAUAAACGCCGGUAUUAUUUAUUACGUCAGCACUAUUCUGGCUGUGCCACCUGUAAUCAUUUUUGGAUGGUUCUACCUACAGCAUAAAAAGAGUUGUCAAAAAACGAAAUGUACCAUUAUUAUUGAGCGGCUAGAGAAAACCGAUAUUGACAGUGACAAAAUCAAAUCAAAGAAUGACAACACAUGAUACACAGAAUCAACAAAUAGAAAUUUUGUAAUAAUAAUAUUUGGAGAAUUCAAAGCACAGAGUGAAAUGAACUCUCACGCGUGAUAAUGUUCUCGUAUCAGUAUACUUUAAGCUAUCUCGAGACGAAGACAAUAAAAUGUCAAGUGAAAAUACAAAGGAAGAAAUCAACGAACAAGUACCAAUUAAUGAAAAAGAUAAUGUGAACAAUAAAGACGAAUUCGAGAAUCGGAGUUUCUUUGAUAAACUGUGCGAAAUCAAAUCUAACAUAACAGUGGAGCCAAUUUUCGCGGGAUUAAUUAUACCUUCGACUUUGGCCAGAUUGGCGAUACAAAAUUUGAAUUUAGACAAAGCAUGCCGCGUCAAAUCACAGUUCGGAGACGUUGUCUGCGACGCACUGAUCGAACGGAAAGGCAAUUACACAACUCAAGAAGCCGAGAUCCAGCAAAUAAUUUCACAUAUUGAAUCAUGGAGGACUAUUAUACAGACCGCCAUACCCACACUUCUGGUUAUCUUCAUGGGAGCUUGGAGCGACAGGACGGGCAACAGAAAAA
Molecule: RNA transcript, 2152 nt
Organism: Bombyx mori (domestic silkworm)
Lineage: Eukaryota; Metazoa; Arthropoda; Insecta; Lepidoptera; Bombycidae
Gene name: proton-coupled folate transporter
Exons: 8
Source: RefSeq, a predicted model, not a curated record